GGAGUUGGAGGCACACUUCAUUUCUCUGCCCAGCUCGGCAGGCGGCUGGAGCAAACCAGGAGAUCGCCUCAAAUGUUUUAAAUGUCAAUAUGGUCCCUUCUUGCUGGCUUGCCAAGAUUUGACCAGCUAAAUUGGCCUGUGUGGUGUGUUCCCUGCAGUGCACGGUACGAAUUUAGAUCUUUCAUCAAUGCUGUAAGGGAGGCUGGACAGCCGUCAACAGCAGCAUGCAAAUUCCCAGGGAUGCUGUUCUGAAGGCUUCCACCUCCAUCUUGAGAGCUACUUCCUGUCUCUUUGGGGCUUCAGUUUCCAUAAAGGCCCUCAUUGAACCCUUGGGCCCUAAUUGGAUUGGGGAAGAGACCAGUCCCAUUUGGGAGACCACAGUGCCUUCAGCACCCUUGGCAAACUUCUUGGGUGCUGCAGUCCUGCCUAAUGCCAGCCUUCUAGCAAGG
RNAcentral lists this long non-coding RNA (449 nucleotides) under Homo sapiens (human). RNAcentral describes it as "non-protein coding lnc-CBX2-6:1". Lineage: Eukaryota; Metazoa; Chordata; Mammalia; Primates; Hominidae. The record is from RNAcentral.